CCGGCACGGGUGAGUAACACGUAUGCAAUCCACCUGUAACAGGGGGAUAACCCGGAGAAAUCCGGACUAAUACCCCAUAAUAUGGGCGCUCCGCAUGGAGAGCCCAUUAAAGAGAGCAAUUUUGGUUACAGACGAGCAUGCGCUCCAUUAGCCAGUUGGCGGGGUAACGGCCCACCAAGCGACGAUGGAUAGGGGUUCUGAGAGGAAGGUCCCCCACAUUGGAACUGAGACACGGUCCAA
This 240-nucleotide ribosomal RNA is filed under the name uncultured bacterium. Its description in RNAcentral is "partial 16S ribosomal RNA". It matches the Rfam family "Bacterial small subunit ribosomal RNA", at positions 100 to 334 of the family's 1533-position model. The record is from RNAcentral.